AGAGUUUGAUCCUGGCUCAGAAUCAACGCUGGCGGCGUGCCUAACACAUGCAAGUCGAACGAGAAAGUGGAGCAAUCCAUGAGUAAAGUGGCGACCGGGUGAGUAACACGUGACUAACCUACCUUCGAAUGGGGAAUAACUCCGGGAAACCGGGGCUAAUACCGCAUAACACCGCAAGGUCAAAGCAGCAAUGCGUUUGAGGAGGGGGUCGCGGCUGAUUAGCUAGUUGGUAGGGUAAUGGCCUACCAAGGCUGAGAUCGGUAUCCGGCCUGAGAGGGCGCACGGACACACUGGAACUGAAACACGGUCCAGACUCCUACGGGAGGCAGCAGUGGGGAAUUUUGCGCAAUGGGGGAAACCCUGACGCAGCAACGCCGCGUGGAGGAUGAAGUCCCUUGGGACGUAAACUCCUUUCGACCGGGAAGAUACUGACGGUACCGGAUGAAGAAGCACCGGCUAACUCUGUGCCAGCAGCCGCGGUAAU
RNAcentral lists this ribosomal RNA (484 nucleotides) under uncultured soil bacterium. RNAcentral's name for it is "bacterial SSU rRNA". It matches the Rfam family "Bacterial small subunit ribosomal RNA", at positions 8 to 524 of the family's 1533-position model. The record is from RNAcentral.